AUUGAACGCUGGCGGCAUGCUUUACACAUGCAAGUCGAACGGUAACAGGCCUUCGGGUGCUGACGAGUGGCGAACGGGUGAGUAAUGCAUCGGAACAUACCCAGUCGUGGGGGAUAACGUAGCGAAAGUUACGCUAAUACCGCAUACGUCCUGAGGGAGAAAGCGGGGGAUCGCAAGACCUCGCGCGAUUGGAGUGGCCGAUGUCAGAUUAGCUAGUUGGUGGGGUAAAGGCCCACCAAGGCGACGAUCUGUAGCGGGUCUGAGAGGAUGAUCCGCCACACUGGGACGUGAGACACGGCCCACGACUCCUACGGGAGGCAGCAGUGGGGAAGUUUUGGUACGAAUGGGGGAAACCCGUGAUCCAGCCAUGCCGCGUGAGUGAAGAAGG
RNAcentral lists this ribosomal RNA (388 nucleotides) under uncultured bacterium. RNAcentral describes it as "bacterial SSU rRNA". It matches the Rfam family "Bacterial small subunit ribosomal RNA", at positions 29 to 414 of the family's 1533-position model. The record is from RNAcentral.